This 480-nucleotide ribosomal RNA is filed under the name uncultured bacterium. RNAcentral describes it as "bacterial SSU rRNA". It matches the Rfam family "Bacterial small subunit ribosomal RNA", at positions 30 to 505 of the family's 1533-position model. The record is from RNAcentral.
AUUGAACGCUGGCGGCAUGCCUUACACAUGCAAGUCGAACGGCAGCACGGGAGCAAUCCUGGUGGCGAGUGGCGAACGGGCGAGUAAUAUAUCGGAACGUGCCCAGUCGUGGGGGAUAACGCAGCGAAAGUUGUGCUAAUACCGCAUACGAUCUAUGGAUGAAAGCGGGGGAUCGCAAGACCUCGCGCGAUUGGAGCGGCCGAUAUCAGAUUAGGUUGUUGGUGAGGUAAAAGCUCACCAAGCCUGCGAUCUGUAGCUGGUCUGAGAGGACGACCAGCCACACUGGAACUGAGACACGGUCCAGACUCCUACGGGAGGCAGCAGUGGGGAAUUUGGACAAUGGACGAAAGUCUGAUCCAGCAAUGCCGCGUGCAGGACGAAGGCCUUCGGGUUGUAAACUGCUUUGUACAGAACGAAAAAGUCUUUAAUAACACUAGAGGCUCAUGACGGUACUGUAAGAAUAAGCACCGGCUAACUACG